GAUGAACGCUGGCGGCGUGCUUAACAUAUGCAAGUCGAGCGAGUGAGUUCUUCGGAACGAUCUAGCGGCGGACGGGUGAGUAACAUGUGGGCAACCUGCCUCAUAGAGGGGAAUAGCCUCCCGAAAGGGAGAUUAAUACCGCAUAACAUCGUUGAAGGGCAUCCUUCGAUGAUCAAAGGAGCAAUCCGCUAUGAGAUGGGCCCGCGGCGCAUUAGCUAGUUGGUGAGGUAACGGCUCACCAAGGCGACGAUGCGUAGCCGACCUGAGAGGGUGAUCGGCCACAGUGGGACUGGGACACGGCCCAGACUCCUACGGGAGGCAGCAGUGGGGAAUAUCGCACAAUGGGGGAAACCCUGAUGCAGCAACGCCGCGUGAGUGAUGACGGCCUUCGGGUUGUAAAGCUCUGUCUUUGGGGACGAUAAUGACGGUACCCAAGGAGGAAGUCACGGCUAACUACGUGCCAGCCGCCGCCGUAA
This 476-nucleotide ribosomal RNA is filed under the name uncultured bacterium. RNAcentral's name for it is "partial 16S ribosomal RNA". It matches the Rfam family "Bacterial small subunit ribosomal RNA", at positions 28 to 523 of the family's 1533-position model. The record is from RNAcentral.